This is a long non-coding RNA of Cebus imitator (Panamanian white-faced capuchin), 3827 nucleotides long. RefSeq lists it as uncharacterized. NCBI's taxonomy places the organism in Eukaryota, Metazoa, Chordata, Mammalia, Primates, Cebidae. The transcript has 3 exons. The record is from RefSeq and is a predicted model, not a curated record.
UAAUCUGCUUGCCUUGGCCUCCCAAAGUGCGGGAUUAUAGGUGUGAGCCACCACACCCAGCCAAGAAGUUUUUCUGUCCUCAGAGAGCUCUGGUUUUUAGAAACCUCUCCCUGAGAAUAAGGAAACCUGUCUGUAACAAGCAAAUGGAAUAAAAUAGAAACACUACAACUCUUAUUUUCUAGUAUAGAACCUCUAACUGCUCAGGUGGGCAGUCUACCCUUCGCUUAAGUGCUCCGCCCCUUUUAUUCGUCAGGCAGUGUGUCCUUAUAAUGGGCCUUUCUAUUGGUAGAUAAAAGCUUCCCUCUCCUGUUCACUCAGUUGCUACCCAACUAUCCUGUGAUGCCAAUCUUAAUAUUAGAAGAGCUUUCAAGUCCCCAUUGCCUCCUUCCUAUCUGCCUUACAGCCUGUCGUGGUUGCUGGAGAACUUUAAUUACAGUGUCGGGGUGUUCAGGAACAGUCCUAACCCCCUUCAUGUGAAGAUUGCAGAAAUGGGCUUGGGUCAUAUACAGACCAUCAUGAUGCUUUACUGGAGAACAGUAAGUUCUUUCACAGAAGAUGUCAACUAAUACAUGCAUUUUCUUUGCAGUACCCCAAGAGGCAGGAGCUGAUUCCUAUAUAGUUAGGAUAUAGCUGGCCAAUGAUCUCUUUAAAUGUAAUUUCCAUCUGCCACAUUUUAAAUUACAGGUUAUUGCAUCAGGAAACUGUUGAGUCAGAUUCCUGCCACAAAAUGUUGCUAAGUAUUUGGUGCCUUGGAAAGGGCAUUAGACGCACAGUGAGAAGACCAUGGUUUAAUCUGACAUUCCGCUUACUAGCUGUAGAAGCUUGAGCAAGUUAGUUAAUCUCUGUCUGUAUACUCAUCUGCAAAAUGAGGAUAAUGCUUAUCUUAUAGAGUGUUGUGAAAGCAACGAAGAUUGUGUAAAAGGGUGUCAUAAACUGAGAAGCACUGCACAAAUGUAAGGUCUCCUAAGGAAAACCUUUUUAAAACUCAAAAUCUAUAUGAUCGAAGAUACUUUUUCCUGUUGGGUGGAAUAUUGUAUAGCCAUUAAAAAUUAUAAGAGAAAAUAUAUUGAAAAAUAGAGUUUAAAAUGGUGAGUGUGCAAUUACAUCAGUGUAAAAGCUGUGUACAUAGACUAGAAUAUGGAAAAAAAUAAAUUAGAGGCAGUGGAAUUGAGUGACUUUUUCUUUAAAGCCUCUUAGGUAAAUUAGGUAUAUUCGGUUUAGUUCAAUAAAUUUUUAUUGUGCUCUCACUCUACCAAGCCCUACCAAGCUAGAUUCUAUGGGUGCUGAGACAAAUAGAACACACUCCCUCCAAUCAGGGACUCCCAUUCUGUACAGUCUUGUCAAAGUUUACUGUGUAGAUGAAUCACUGGGAAGCGUAUUAAAAAUUCAGAUUCUCCUACUCCCACCAUAAGGUCUGAUUCAGUAGGUCUGGGAUGGAGAAGCUCAUAGUUGGCGUUUUUUUAAAGAGUCACCCUGAGUAAUUCUAGUGUAAGUACUCUAAUUCUGUAUUGAGAAACCUGUAGUGAGGUUUUAAUAUUUUUACACUAAAGGGUAAGUAAUAAUUAUAUAAAUCUCCUGCUUAUUGAAGAAGUUAUUCUGUUCUCUCUGUAUGCUUGAGCUGGUUUUUAUGCCUUUCUGUCAAGGAUGGGAAAGCCAGGCUGCAGUGAUACCCUUUGGACCCCAUGAAGCAUAGAAACUACCAUGCCUCUCAACUUUUAUCUCUUUUCUCACUCCAUUUCUCUCCACAUCUUCUCCCAUGUUUUUUUCUUUCUUUGCGAGUGUUAAUCUCCCACUCUGGUUCCUUCUAUGCCUAGUAAUAUAUCAACAUCCAGGUGCUUCCCCUUCCUCUCUCCACCCCACCCCCUCAGCAGAUACAUCAAUCGUAUUGAAGACAACAACUUACAUCUAGUUUACUAAGUACAAACUUGUGCUGGCUGUUUCUCAAAAAGUAAGAGUGGGCUAUUUGUUGAUCAACAAUCAUUUUUUAAAAAAAUCUGACAUGGAAAUUUUUGUGUCAAGUUUCACUAUCAUUUAGUUCUUGAUGGAUUUUCUUCUAAUGGGUUAGUAGCCCUCAACAGAAAAUUUUAAAAGUCCUCUGCUCAGGAACCUGUCCUGCCCAGAGCUGGGGUGUACCCUGCACCCUGACUCAACACUACUUGUCUCCACAUGCCUGUAAAUGGGCUUGGGUGGCUUUCUCAGGCUACACACCUGUCACCUCUUAGUCGCCCAGAAUCAAAAUAUUUACAGCUCUGAUCACAUUGUCUGUGGCUAUGAGGCUUUAUUUCAAGAGUGGUGACACUCCAAAAUGCAGCUAGGAUUUCUGCAUUUUCAUGUGUUUAAGUUGUUUUUACUUCAGUAAACCAAGGGUUGGACAGUGGCUUCCAGACUUUCUCCUUUUGUUAUGUUCCUUUAGUACCUUACGCAAAUAAUGGUUGUCUUAUGUUGCCAUUCAUCUCCUCUGCCAGAAUGUGAGCUCAGUGACAGCAGAGACAAGAAUACAUUAAUUUUUAUAUCUGCAGUGCCUUGGAGAGUGCCUGACACUUAGUGGGCACUCGUUAAAAAACUGCCGAAUGAAUCACUAAGGUGACCAAAAACGGUGGGGGGAAUGCAUCCAUCAGAGAACAGGGAAGUAUUUCUUAAAAAAUUUCCCCCCAAAAAAAUAAAAAAAUAAAAAAAAAUAAAAAAAAAUUUCCCAAAACUGGCUUUUCUCUUUUUAUGUGUCUGAAAUAUCUCAUAAAUUUUUAAACUAUCUUUUUCAGCACAAAUCUAUCUGGAGCCGUUUCCUGAACAUAGGACCAAAAGGCAGGAAUCAAAAGUAAUAAUGAGUUUAGUUAUCUGUUACUGAAGGUGAUUUAUAGAGCAUUCUCCUGGCAUUGCUUCUGGAAUACAGUGACUUGGACUUCUGAAGAACAUCUCUAUGCUGUUCAUCAUUAUACCGCCAGCACCUAGCCUUGUGCCUGUGCAUAGUAAAUGCUCAGAAAAGAAAACAACAAAGUUUCCAGCUCUUAUUCUAGGUUGACACUGGACCUUGGAGAUGUUUGCAGCCACUAAAUGUAAUGCCACAUGAUUGUUGACCCAACAAUAAUCCAGUUAAAAAACAGUCUUCAGAGUUACUACAUCAUCAGAAUUAACCCUGAUUACAUCAAAUUAUGUUGAAACAGACCACAGCUGUUUGCCCUGUUGAAGCAACUGCUUGAGAGCUCCUCCGGAAGAUACAUCUGGGUGUCAGGAAGAUAUAUUUUGGGUUUAAUUUUGUUUCUCAACACAAAUGUAGGAGAGAAACACCCUGUUCUGCUGGGGUGCUUGGUGGGAGCUGAAAAUUUUGUGAUUCUUCAGCAGUCAAAAGUCAUCUCAAUUACCAAAGAGAAGGGAACCUGAAAUCUUUUGUUUCAGUUUUCUAAAGGAAGGAUGUAAGAAGAAGGAAAUUCAAAUCUGUUGAGUAUUGCUUUUGCCAGCAAAAAGAAGUUGAACUGAGUAGAGAGAAAGUGGUGCAAUUUUCUUUGGUGGCUUUAUGCAGUGGUAUGCUAGAGCUGGCUCAUAUCAACCCAGGACAAUCGACUUCAAUUGUGAAGAAUUUUGUAAGAUGGCUGUUAAAAUGUAACAUCAUUAAAAAUAAAUUGUAAUAAAAAAAUGGGAAAUAAGUAUUGGAAAAGAUGUGGACCGAUUGGAACCCUCACACAUUGCUGAUGGGAAUGUAAAAUGGUGUAGCCACUGUGGAAAAAAGUUCAGCAGUUCUUUAAAAAGUUAAACAGUGUCACCAUAUGACUCAGUAUUUUCACACCUAGAUAGAUACCUAGAUUGAAAACAUAUGUCCACACAAAAACUUG